AGAGUUUGAUCCUGGCUCAGGAUGAACGCUGGCGGCGUGCUUAACACAUGCAAGUCGAACGUGAGAAUAGCAAUAUUUGAAAGUGGCAAACGGGUGAGUAACACGUGGGAACCUGCCUCGAAGUGGGGGAUAACGAUUGGAAACGGUCGCUAAUACCGCACGGUUCUGCUCUGAUGGGAAUGGAGCAGAUAAAGAUUUAUCGCUUUGAGAGGGGCCCGCGGCCGAUUAGCUAGUUGGUAAGGUAAAGGCUUACCAAGGCGAUUAUCGGUAGCUGGUCUGAGAGGACGAUCAGCCACACGGGAACUGAGACACGGUCCCGACUCCUACGGGGGGCAGCAGUGAGGAGUAUUGGGCAAUGGGCGAAAGCCUGACCCAGCAACGCCGCGUGGAGGAUGAAGGCUUUAGGGUUGUAAACUCCUUUUGUGGGGGAAAAGAAUGGAUGGUACCCCAAGAAUAAGUCACGGCUAACUACGUGCCAGCAGCCCGCGGUAAUACGUAGGUGACAAGCGUUAUCCGGAAUUACUGGGCGUAAAGCGCACGCAGGCGGUCAGAUAAGUCUGAUGUGAAACCUUCUGGCUUAACCAGAAGACGUCGUUGGAUACUGUUUGACUUGAGGCGAUGAGAGGAAUGCGGAAUCCCCGGUGUAAUGGUGGAAUAUGUAGAUAUCGGGGGGAACAUCU
RNAcentral lists this ribosomal RNA (680 nucleotides) under uncultured bacterium. RNAcentral's name for it is "bacterial SSU rRNA". It matches the Rfam family "Bacterial small subunit ribosomal RNA", at positions 8 to 711 of the family's 1533-position model. The record is from RNAcentral.